GCCUUCUUAGCUCAGUUGGUAGAGCGCGGCACUAGUAAUGCCGAGGUCAACGGUUCAAAUCCGUUAGAAGGCA
This 73-nucleotide transfer RNA is filed under the name Ramularia collo-cygni. It matches the Rfam family "tRNA". From Rfam's summary of the family: Transfer RNA (tRNA) molecules are approximately 80 nucleotides in length. Their secondary structure includes four short double-helical elements and three loops (D, anti-codon, and T loops). Lineage: Eukaryota; Fungi; Ascomycota; Dothideomycetes; Mycosphaerellales; Mycosphaerellaceae. The record is from RNAcentral.